RNAcentral lists this ribosomal RNA (588 nucleotides) under uncultured yeast. RNAcentral's name for it is "eukaryotic LSU rRNA". It matches the Rfam family "Eukaryotic large subunit ribosomal RNA", at positions 38 to 667 of the family's 3401-position model. Lineage: Eukaryota; Fungi. The record is from RNAcentral.
GCAUAUCAAUAAGCGGAGGAAAAGAAACCAACCGGGAUUGCCUUAGUAACGGCGAGUGAAGCGGCAAAAGCUCAAAUUUGAAAUCUGGCGUCUUCGACGUCCGAGUUGUAAUUUGAAGAAGGCGACUUUGUAGCUGGUCCUUGUCUAUGUUCCUUGGAACAGGACGUCAUAGAGGGUGAGAAUCCCGUGUGGCGAGGAUCCCAGUUAUUUGUAAAGUGCUUUCGACGAGUCGAGUUGUUUGGGAACGCAGCUCUAAGUGGGUGGUAAAUUCCAUCUAAAGCUAAAUAUUGGCGAGAGACCGAUAGCGAACAAGUACAGUGAUGGAAAGAUGAAAAGAACUUUGAAAAGAGAGUGAAAAAGUACGUGAAAUUGUUGAAAGGGAAGGGCAUUUGAUCAGACAUGGCGUUUGCUUCGGCUUUCGCUGGGCCAGCAUCAGUUUUAGCGGUUGGAUAAAUCCUCGGGAAUGUGGCUCUGCUUCGGUAGAGUGUUAUAGCCCGUGGGAAUACAGCCAGCUGGGACUGAGGAUUGCGACUUUUGUCAAGGAUGCUGGCGUAAUGGUUAAAUGCCGCCCGUCUUGAAACACGGACC